Molecule: ribosomal RNA, 973 nt
Filed under: Bradyrhizobium sp.
Lineage: Bacteria; Pseudomonadati; Pseudomonadota; Alphaproteobacteria; Hyphomicrobiales; Nitrobacteraceae
Description: bacterial SSU rRNA
Rfam family: Bacterial small subunit ribosomal RNA
Source: RNAcentral
CAGCUUACACAUGCAAGUCGAGCGGGCGUAGCAAUACGUCAGCGGCAGACGGGUGAGUAACGCGUGGGAACGUACCUUUUGGUUCGGAACAACACAGGGAAACUUGUGCUAAUACCGGAUAAGCCCUUACGGGGAAAGAUUUAUCGCCGAAAGAUCGGCCCGCGUCUGAUUAGCUAGUUGGUAGGGUAACGGCCUACCAAGGCGACGAUCAGUAGCUGGUCUGAGAGGAUGAUCAGCCACAUUGGGACUGAGACACGGCCCAAACUCCUACGGGAGGCAGCAGUGGGGAAUAUUGGACAAUGGGGGCAACCCUGAUCCAGCCAUGCCGCGUGAGUGAUGAAGGCCCUAGGGUUGUAAAGCUCUUUUGUGCGGGAAGAUAAUGACGGUACCGCAAGAAUAAGCCCCGGCUAACUUCGUGCCAGCAGCCGCGGUAAUACGAAGGGGGCUAGCGUUGCUCGGAAUCACUGGGCGUAAAGGGUGCGUAGGCGGGUCUUUAAGUCAGGGGUGAAAUCCUGGAGCUCAACUCCAGAACUGCCUUUGAUACUGAAGAUCUUGAGUUCGGGAGAGGUGAGUGGAACUGCGAGUGUAGAGGUGAAAUUCGUAGAUAUUCGCAAGAACACCAGUGGCGAAGGCGGCUCACUGGCCCGAUACUGACGCUGAGGCACGAAAGCGUGGGGAGCAAACAGGAUUAUAUACCCUGGUAGUCCACGCCGUAAACGAUGAAUGCCAGCCGUUAGUGGGUUUACUCACUAGUGGCGCAGCUAACGCUUUAUGCAUUCCGCCUGGGGAGUACGGUCGCAAGAUUAAAACUCAAAGGAAUUGACGGGGGCCCGCACAAGCGGUGGAGCAUGUGGUUUAAUUCGACGCAACGCGCAGAACCUUACCAGCCCUUGACAUGUCCAGGACCGGUCGCAGAGAUGUGACCUUCUCUUCGGAGCCUGGAACACAGGUGCUGCAUGGCUGUCGUCAGCUC